RNAcentral lists this ribosomal RNA (1155 nucleotides) under Arthrobacter sp. RNAcentral describes it as "bacterial SSU rRNA". It matches the Rfam family "Bacterial small subunit ribosomal RNA", at positions 127 to 1283 of the family's 1533-position model. The record is from RNAcentral. Lineage: Bacteria; Bacillati; Actinomycetota; Actinomycetes; Micrococcales; Micrococcaceae.
UGCCCUUAACUCUGGGAUAAGCCUGGGAAACUGGGUCUAAUACUGGAUAUUGACUUUUCCUCGCAUGGGGUUUGGUUGAAAGCUUUAGUGGUUUUGGAUGGACUCGCGGCCUAUCAGCUUGUUGGUGAGGUAAUGGCUCACCAAGGCGACGACGGGUAGCCGGCCUGAGAGGGUGACCGGCCACACUGGGACUGAGACACGGCCCAGACUCCUACGGGAGGCAGCAGUGGGGAAUAUUGCACAAUGGGCGAAAGCCUGAUGCAGCGACGCCGCGUGAGGGAUGACGGCCUUCGGGUUGUAAACCUCUUUCAGUAGGGAACAAGGCUACACGUUGUGUGGUUGAGGGUACUUGCAGAAGAAGCACCGGCUAACUACGUGCCAGCAGCCGCGGUAAUACGUAGGGUGCAAGCGUUAUCCGGAAUUAUUGGGCGUAAAGAGCUCGUAGGCGGUUUGUCGCGUCUGCCGUGAAAGUCCGGGGCUCAACCCCGGAUCUGCGGUGGGUACGGGCAGACUAGAGUGAUGUAGGGGAGACUGGAAUUCCUGGUGUAGCGGUGAAAUGCGCAGAUAUCAGGAGGAACACCGAUGGCGAAGGCAGGUCUCUGGGCAUUAACUGACGCUGAGGAGCGAAAGCAUGGGGAGCGAACAGGAUUAGAUACCCUGGUAGUCCAUGCCGUAAACGUUGGGCACUAGGUGUGGGGGACAUUCCACGUUUUCCGCGCCGUAGCUAACGCAUUAAGUGCCCCGCCUGGGGAGUACGGCCGCAAGGCUAAAACUCAAAGGAAUUGACGGGGGCCCGCACAAGCGGCGGAGCAUGCGGAUUAAUUCGAUGCAACGCGAAGAACCUUACCAAGGCUUGACAUGAACUGGAAACGCUUGGAAACAAGUGCCCCGCUUGCGGCCGGUUUACAGGUGGUGCAUGGUUGUCGUCAGCUCGUGUCGUGAGAUGUUGGGUUAAGUCCCGCAACGAGCGCAACCCUCGUUCUAUGUUGCCAGCACGUGAUGGUGGGGACUCAUAGGAGACUGCCGGGGUCAACUCGGAGGAAGGUGAGGACGACGUCAAAUCAUCAUGCCCCUUAUGUCUUGGGCUUCACGCAUGCUACAAUGGCCGGUACAAUGGGUUGCGAUACUGUGAGGUGGAGCUAAUCCCAAAAAGCC